Ictidomys tridecemlineatus (thirteen-lined ground squirrel) is the source of this 72-nucleotide non-coding RNA. The record is from Rfam. NCBI's taxonomy places the organism in Eukaryota, Metazoa, Chordata, Mammalia, Rodentia, Sciuridae.
AAAGAUGUAGCUCAAUGGUAGAGCACUUGCUUAGGAUGCUCAAGGUCCUAGGUUCAAUCCCUAGCACUGUGA